AUUGAACGCUGGCGGCAGGCCUAACACAUGCAAGUCGAGCGGUUGAGGUAGCUUGCUACCGAUGCAGCGGCGAACGGGUGAGUAAUACAUGGGAAUCUGCCUGGUAGUGGGGGACAACGUCUCGAAAGGGACGCUAAUACCGCAUACGCCCUACGGGGGAAAGGGGGGGAUCUUCGGACCUCCCGCUAUCAGAUGAGCCCAUGUCAGAUGAGCUAGUUGGUAAGGUAAAGGCCUACCAAGGCGACGAUCUGUAACUGGUCUGAGAGGAUGAUCAGUCACACUGGAACUGAGACUCGGUCCAGACUCCUACGGGAGGCAGCAGUGGGGAAUAUUGGACAAUGGGCGCAAGCCUGAUCCAGCCAUGCCGCGUGUGUGAAGAAGGCCUUAGGGUUGUAAAGCACUUUCAGUGGGGAGAAAGGUAAUUCACUUAAUACGUGAGUUAAUUGAUGUUACCCACAGAAGAAGCACCGGCUAACUCCGUGCCAGCAGCCGCGGUAA
This 498-nucleotide ribosomal RNA is filed under the name uncultured bacterium. RNAcentral's name for it is "partial 16S ribosomal RNA". It matches the Rfam family "Bacterial small subunit ribosomal RNA", at positions 30 to 523 of the family's 1533-position model. The record is from RNAcentral.